RNAcentral lists this small RNA (152 nucleotides) under Caenorhabditis elegans. RNAcentral describes it as "Unclassified non-coding RNA M03F8.12". The record is from RNAcentral. Lineage: Eukaryota; Metazoa; Nematoda; Chromadorea; Rhabditida; Rhabditidae.
CUCUUUCAAACGCCUUACGCGCCCCUUCAAAGUUUCCAAUGGUUUGUUCAAAUUCAGCCAUCGAAAUCCAGACUUUAAUGUGAUUUGUUCGUUGGAGUAGGGUUUCAUAGAGAUCUCUAGCCUUUUCGUGUUCCUCACAAGCAAUUUCAAAG